Molecule: ribosomal RNA, 495 nt
Filed under: uncultured Planctomycetota bacterium
Lineage: Bacteria; Pseudomonadati; Planctomycetota
Description: bacterial SSU rRNA
Rfam family: Bacterial small subunit ribosomal RNA
Source: RNAcentral
CGAAGGCCUUCGGGUUGUAAACUCCUGUCACGAGUUAAGAAGGUGUCACGACGAACAGUGGUGACAUUUGACGUAAGCUCGAGAGGAAGCACUGGCUAACUCUGUGCCAGCAGCCGCGGUAAUACAGAGAGUGCAAACGUUGUUCGGAAUUACUGGGCUUAAAGCGCACGUAGGCGGUGUCGUAAGUGUCUGGUGAAAUCCCACGGCUCACCCGUGGAACUGCCAGGCAUACUGCGGUACUCGAGUGUGGUAGGGGAGAGCGGAACUCCUGGUGGAGCGGUGAAAUGCGUAGAUAUCAGGAGGAACACCGGUGGCGAAGGCGGCUCUCUGGUCCACUACUGACGCUGAGGUGCGAAAGCUAGGGGAGCAAACGGGAUUAGAUACCCCGGUAGUCCUAGCUGUAAACGAUGGGCACUAGCUUGGGGUCUCCCUGUGUGAUCCCAGGUGAAGCAAAAGUGAUAAGUGCCCCGCCUGGGGAGUAUGGUCGCAAGGCUG